RNAcentral lists this non-coding RNA (67 nucleotides) under Bacteroides sp. RNAcentral describes it as "Fluoride sequence". It matches the Rfam family "Fluoride riboswitch aptamer (crcB RNA motif)". The record is from RNAcentral. Lineage: Bacteria; Pseudomonadati; Bacteroidota; Bacteroidia; Bacteroidales; Bacteroidaceae.
AUUAAAAAAGGGAAUGGGACUUCCCUGUUAUAAACCGCUGAAAAAAGCUGAUAGUUCCUGUUGAGAG